This 400-nucleotide long non-coding RNA is filed under the name Oryza sativa (Asian cultivated rice). Its description in RNAcentral is "long non-coding RNA (OSAT_LNC000889)". The record is from RNAcentral. Lineage: Eukaryota; Viridiplantae; Streptophyta; Magnoliopsida; Poales; Poaceae.
CCAGAUCCAUCGCGGGGAGGCGCUUGAGGAUAGUCCUCUCCUGCGUCGGCGCAGCGGGCGCGGCCCCCGCCGCCGCGGCCGCGGCCGCCGCCUUCUUCUCGCGGCGGGAGCGGCCGCCGCGGCGCUCGCGGCGGGAGCGGCGGAGGGCGGCGAGGACGUAGCAGCCGGAGCCCUCGCGCGCGACGGCGGCGGCGAGGUCGGUCCCCUCCUCGAGGGGCACGCGGCGCGCGCGGCGGGGGCGCGCGAGCGAGGCCAGGAUCUGCUGCGGCGCGAGCCCCACCCUGUCGGCGACGACGGCCUGCAGCUUGCGGACGCCGAGGGAGGGCUGGACGGUGACGGUGCCGAGGUCGACGGUCUGGUCGCCGUCGACGAAGACGACGGGCAGCACCGCCGCGGGCGG